Molecule: unclassified non-coding RNA, 90 nt
Filed under: Pseudomonas mediterranea
Lineage: Bacteria; Pseudomonadati; Pseudomonadota; Gammaproteobacteria; Pseudomonadales; Pseudomonadaceae
Source: RNAcentral
UGUGGGAGCGAGCCUGCUCGCGAUAGCACCGUGUCAGUCAAUAUCCAAGUUGAUUGGACUGACGCUAUCGCGAGCAGGCUCGCUCCCACA